Molecule: ribosomal RNA, 440 nt
Filed under: uncultured bacterium
Lineage: Bacteria
Description: partial 16S ribosomal RNA
Rfam family: Bacterial small subunit ribosomal RNA
Source: RNAcentral
CCUACGGGAGGCAGCAGUAAGGGAUAUUGGUCAAUGGGGGAAACCCUGAACCAGCAACGCCGCGUGAGGGUAGACGGUUUUCGGAUUGUAAACCUCUGUCCUCUGUGAGGAUGAUGACGGUAGCAUAGGAGGAAGCUCCUGCGAACUACGUGCCAGCCGCCGCGGUAAUACGUAGGGGGCGAGCGUCGUCCGGAUUUACUGGGUGUAAAGGGUGCGUAGGCGGCUUGGCAAGUCAGUAGUGAAAGCCAUGGGCUUAACGCAUGAACUGCUAUUGAAACUGUCGAGCUUGAGUGAAGUAGGGGUAGGAGGAAUUCCCGGUGUAGCGGUGAAAUGCGUAGAGAUCGGGAGGAACACCAGUGGCGAAGGCGGCCUACUGAGCUUUAACUGACGCUGAGGCACGAAAGCGUGGGUAGCAAACAGGAUUAGAUACCCGAGUAGUC